GUGACCUGGCGGAAGGAUCAUUG
RNAcentral lists this ribosomal RNA (23 nucleotides) under Acronychia chooreechillum. RNAcentral's name for it is "partial 18S ribosomal RNA". The record is from RNAcentral. Lineage: Eukaryota; Viridiplantae; Streptophyta; Magnoliopsida; Sapindales; Rutaceae.